GCCUGCUGUGUGGGUGCUGUGUCUCAUCAUGUUGGCAAGGUGGUGAGAAGAAACAGCUUGAAGACCCUCGAGAACAAAAAUCUCCAUUUACUUGCACUUACAAACUCUUACCUGCUUUACCAAGGCAUCCUACAUCUGCCAAGAGGAGUUUGUUCUGGAAAAAGGAAAGAUCUGCUGUGAGAUUACAGUGAGGCAUCUGACUUCUAAGGACCGAAAAUAAGAG
This is a long non-coding RNA of Lagopus leucura (white-tailed ptarmigan), 223 nucleotides long. RefSeq lists it as uncharacterized. The transcript is spliced from 3 exons. NCBI's taxonomy places the organism in Eukaryota, Metazoa, Chordata, Aves, Galliformes, Phasianidae. The record is from RefSeq and is a predicted model, not a curated record.